GACGAACGCUGGCGGCGUGCUUAACACAUGCAAGUCGAACGGAAAGGCCCUGCUUUUGUUGGGUGCUCGAGUGGCGAACGGGUGAGUAACACGUGAGUAACCUGCCCUUGACUUUGGGAUAACUUCAGGAAACUGGGGCUAAUACCGGAUAGGAGCUCCUGCUGCAUGGUGGGGGUUGGAAAGUUUCGGCGGUUGGGGAUGGACUCGCGGCUUAUCAGCUUGUUUGUGGGGUAGUGGCUUACCAAGGCUUUGACGGGUAGCCGGCCUGAGAGGGUGACCGGCCACAUUGGGACUGAGAUACGGCCCAGACUCCUACGGGAGGCAGCAGUGGGGAAUAUUGCACAAUGGGCGGAAGCCUGAUGCAGCAACGCCGCGUGCGGGAUGACGGCCUUCGGGUUGUAAACCGCUUUCGCCUGUGACGAAGCGUGAGUGACGGUAAUGGGUAAAGAAGCACCGGCUAAAUACGUG
Molecule: ribosomal RNA, 468 nt
Filed under: uncultured bacterium
Lineage: Bacteria
Description: partial 16S ribosomal RNA
Rfam family: Bacterial small subunit ribosomal RNA
Source: RNAcentral